Small nuclear RNA from Perognathus longimembris pacificus (Pacific pocket mouse), 104 nucleotides. The record is from RefSeq and is a predicted model, not a curated record. Lineage: Eukaryota; Metazoa; Chordata; Mammalia; Rodentia; Heteromyidae.
GCUCAUUUCAACAGUGCAUAUAUUAAAACUGAGAUCACACAAAGAAGAGUAGCAUGGCUCUGGACAAGAAUGAUGUGAAAAUUUAUGAAAUAUUCCUUUUCUUA